RNAcentral lists this transfer RNA (64 nucleotides) under Chalcophora japonica. RNAcentral's name for it is "tRNA-Leu". Lineage: Eukaryota; Metazoa; Arthropoda; Insecta; Coleoptera; Buprestidae. The record is from RNAcentral.
GUUAUCUUGGCAGAUAAGUGCAUUAAAUUUAGAAUUUAAUUAUGUGAUAGGCUCACAGUUAACA